Molecule: ribosomal RNA, 429 nt
Filed under: Gemmatimonadota bacterium
Lineage: Bacteria; Pseudomonadati; Gemmatimonadota
Description: Gemmatimonadetes bacterium partial 16S ribosomal RNA
Rfam family: Bacterial small subunit ribosomal RNA
Source: RNAcentral
UAGGGAAUCUUCGGCAAUGGACGAAAGUCUGACCGAGCAACGCCGCGUGAGUGAAGAAGGUUUUCGGAUCGUAAAACUCUGUUGUUAGAGAAGAACAAGGACGUUAGUAACUGAACGUCCCCUGACGGUAUCUAACCAGAAAGCCACGGCUAACUACGUGCCAGCAGCCGCGGUAAUACGUAGGUGGCAAGCGUUGUCCGGAUUUAUUGGGCGUAAAGCGAGCGCAGGCGGUUUCUUAAGUCUGAUGUGAAAGCCCCCGGCUCAACCGGGGAGGGUCAUUGGAAGCUGGGAGACUUGAGUGCAGAAGAGGGGGGUGGAAUUCCGUGUGUAGCGGUGAAAUGCGUAGAUAUAUGGAGGAACACCAGUGGCGAAGGCGGCUCUCUGGUCUGUAACUGACGCUGAGGCUCGAAAGCGUGGGAAGCAAACAGG